Molecule: transfer RNA, 77 nt
Filed under: Rickettsia endosymbiont of Culicoides newsteadi
Lineage: Bacteria; Pseudomonadati; Pseudomonadota; Alphaproteobacteria; Rickettsiales; Rickettsiaceae
Description: tRNA-Arg
Rfam family: tRNA
About the family: Transfer RNA (tRNA) molecules are approximately 80 nucleotides in length. Their secondary structure includes four short double-helical elements and three loops (D, anti-codon, and T loops).
Source: RNAcentral
GCACCCGUAGCUCAAUUGGAUAGAGUAUAUGACUACGGAUCAUAAGGUUGGGGGUUCGACUCCCUCCGGGUGCGCCA